RNAcentral lists this transfer RNA (72 nucleotides) under bacterium. RNAcentral describes it as "tRNA-Thr". It matches the Rfam family "tRNA". Rfam says of the family: Transfer RNA (tRNA) molecules are approximately 80 nucleotides in length. Their secondary structure includes four short double-helical elements and three loops (D, anti-codon, and T loops). Further hydrogen bonds mediate the characteristic L-shaped molecular structure. tRNAs have two regions of fundamental functional importance: the anti-codon, which is responsible for specific mRNA codon recognition, and the 3' end, to which the tRNAs corresponding amino acid is attached (by aminoacyl-tRNA synthetases). tRNAs cope with the degeneracy of the genetic code in two manners: having more than one tRNA (with a specific anti-codon) for a particular amino acid; and 'wobble' base-pairing, i.e. permitting non-standard base-pairing at the 3rd anti-codon position. The record is from RNAcentral. RNAcentral also lists the same sequence under 1 other name.
GCCGACGUAGCUCAGUGGUAGAGCACUUCCUUGGUAAGGAAGAGGUCACGAGUUCAAAUCUCGUCGUCGGCU